Molecule: long non-coding RNA, 267 nt
Organism: Panthera uncia (snow leopard)
Lineage: Eukaryota; Metazoa; Chordata; Mammalia; Carnivora; Felidae
Exons: 2
Source: RefSeq, a predicted model, not a curated record
CAGGGAGCCAUCUGUAGCCUUCUCUGCGGAGGAGAAACCACAAGUUACACGGUGGGGAGGGGGUCAUGGACAGGCAGACUCAGCCGCGUGCAGCGGCCACGUGAGGCCAGGAGCAUCACCGUCCUAUGAUCACCGAGGAGGCCUCGCGGCUCAGUCUACCAACCGGAUGAGUGGGGACAGCAAUCCGGCGGGCUGGUUUCUGACAUGAAACUACGGAGGCAGUGUUUUAUUUUCGCAAAUAAAAUGCUCCUUCUUGACUUUCUAUUA